UACGGAGGGUGCAAACGUUGCUCGGAAUCAUUGGGCGUAAAGCGCACGUAGGCGGCUCGUUAAGUCAGGGGUGAAAUCCUGGAGCUCAACUCCAGAACUGCCUUUGAUACUGAGGAUCUUGAGUUCGGGAGAGGUGAGUGGAACUGCGAGUGUAGAGGUGAAAUUCGUAGAUAUUCGCAAGAACACCAGUGGCGAAGGCGGCUCACUGGCCCGAUACUGACGCUGAGGCACGAAAGCGUGGGGAGCAAACAGG
RNAcentral lists this ribosomal RNA (253 nucleotides) under uncultured bacterium. RNAcentral's name for it is "partial 16S ribosomal RNA". It matches the Rfam family "Bacterial small subunit ribosomal RNA", at positions 524 to 776 of the family's 1533-position model. The record is from RNAcentral.